UACGUAGGGUGCGAGCGUUAAUCGGAAUUACUGGGCGUAAAGUGUGCGCAGGCGGCAGAGCAAGUCGAGUGUGAAAGCCCCGAGCUUAACUUGGGAAUUGCGCUCGAAACUACUUUGCUGGAGUGUGGCUGAGGAAGGUGGAAUUCCACGUGUAGCGGUGAAAUGCGUAGAGAUGUGGAGGAACACCAAUGGCGAAGGCAGCCUUCUGGGCCAACACUGACGCUCAUGCACGAAAGCGUGGGGAGCAAACAGG
RNAcentral lists this ribosomal RNA (253 nucleotides) under uncultured bacterium. RNAcentral's name for it is "partial 16S ribosomal RNA". It matches the Rfam family "Bacterial small subunit ribosomal RNA", at positions 524 to 776 of the family's 1533-position model. The record is from RNAcentral.